GACGAACGCUGGCGGCGUGCUUAACACAUGCGAGUCGAACGAUGAAGCCUUAGCUUGCUUUGGUGGAUUAGUGGCGAACGGGUGAGUAACACGUGAGCAACGUGCCCAGGACUCUGGAAUAACCGCGGGAAACCGUGGCUAAUACCGGAUAGGUGCCGAGGCCGCAUGGUCUUCGGCUGGAAAGUUUUUGCGGUUCUGGAUCGGCUCACGGCCUAUCAGCUUGUUGGUGGGGUAAUGGCCUACCAAGGCGACGACGGGUAGCCGGCCUGAGAGGGUGACCGGCCACACUGGGACUGAGACACGGCCCAGACUCCUACGGGAGGCAGCAGUGGGGAAUAUUGCACAAUGGGCGCAAGCCUGAUGCAGCAACGCCGCGUGGGGGAUGACGGCCUUCGGGUUGUAAACCUCUUUUAGUAGGGAAGAAGCGCAAGUGACGGUACCUGCAGAAAAAGCACCGGCUAACUACGUG
This 469-nucleotide ribosomal RNA is filed under the name uncultured bacterium. Its description in RNAcentral is "partial 16S ribosomal RNA". It matches the Rfam family "Bacterial small subunit ribosomal RNA", at positions 28 to 507 of the family's 1533-position model. The record is from RNAcentral.